UACGACUACAUAUCAGGCAUAUCAAUAAGCGGAGGAAAAGAAACUAACAAGGAUUCCCCUAGUAACGGCGAGUGAAGCGGGAAGAGCUCAAAUUUGAAAUCUUAAAGGGUUUCCCUUUACGAAUUGUAGUUUAAAGAAGUGUUUUCUGUUGGAGUUUCGGUAAAAGUUCUUUGGAAUAGGACAUCAUAGAGGGUGAGAAUCCCGUAUUUGACCGUUACUUUCCAGCUGUGUGAUACACUUUCAAAGAGUCGGAUUGUUUGGGAAUGCAGUCCAAGAUGGGUGGUAAAUUUCAUCUAAAGCUAAAUAUUGGCGAGAGACCGAUAGCGAACAAGUACCGUGAGGGAAAGAUGAAAAGAACUUUGAAAAGAGAGUUAAACAGUACGUGAAAUUGUCAAAAGGGAAGCGUUUGACACCAGUGUUGUUUAGUUGAAAAUCAAUUCAAUAGUUUUUGAUUCUAAGUAGUAUUGACUUCAUCAGCUUGCUGCUUUCUUCUCAGAAAUUAUUGAAUGCACUUUUCAGUUAACAAGUCAACAUCAAUUUCUUUUGUUGUAAAAGGGUAAGAGGAAGGUGGCUUGCGCUUCGGCUCAAGUGUUUAUAGCCUUUUAUCUCUGCAAUCGGAGAGAUUGAGGUCUGCAGCGUAGACUCCUUCGGGGUUAGAUACAUUUGUGCUAAGCUUGUAGCCUUUUCAUAGACAACUUGUUGACUAUGUCUCAGUCAUGUAGGCUUACUCGCUGAUGCUAUUUUACCUACGCUUAGGAUGUUGAGUAGCGACAUACGCAC
This 780-nucleotide ribosomal RNA is filed under the name uncultured Neocallimastigales. RNAcentral's name for it is "partial large subunit ribosomal RNA". It matches the Rfam family "Eukaryotic large subunit ribosomal RNA", at positions 24 to 649 of the family's 3401-position model. Lineage: Eukaryota; Fungi; Neocallimastigomycota; Neocallimastigomycetes; Neocallimastigales. The record is from RNAcentral.